UACGAAGGGGGCUAGCGUUGUUCGGAAUUACUGGGCGUAAAGGGCGCGUAGGCGGCCCGUUGAGUCAGAUGUGAAAGCCCCGGGCUUAACCUGGGAACCGCAUUUGAUACUGACGGGCUUGAGUUCCGGAGAGGAUGGUGGAAUUCCCAGUGUAAAGGUGAAAUUCGUAGAUAUUGGGAAGAACACCGGUGGCGAAGGCGGCCAUCUGGACGGACACUGACGCUGAGGCGCGAAAGCGUGGGGAGCAAACAGG
Molecule: unclassified non-coding RNA, 253 nt
Filed under: uncultured Alphaproteobacteria bacterium
Lineage: Bacteria; Pseudomonadati; Pseudomonadota; Alphaproteobacteria
Description: contains 16S-23S intergenic spacer region
Rfam family: Bacterial small subunit ribosomal RNA
Source: RNAcentral